This is a small nucleolar RNA of Calliphora vicina (urban bluebottle blowfly), 156 nucleotides long. The record is from RefSeq and is a predicted model, not a curated record. Lineage: Eukaryota; Metazoa; Arthropoda; Insecta; Diptera; Calliphoridae.
UAUAACCCAGUCCUUAACUAAAACCUUAGAAUAUGUAUCAAAGUAUUCCUUGGUAUUCAAAAGGACCAGAGAAAACACCAUGUUUAACUAUUCCUCUUAAGGAUAUCGGCUAAAAGAUAUAAACCUUAAUAAAGUGAAAAUCAACAAUCUCAAAAA